GAAAUAUAAAAUAUUAAGCUUCUAACUUAAUUCAUAGCGGUAACGUUAAUAUUUCU
This 56-nucleotide transfer RNA is filed under the name Stricticollis tobias. RNAcentral's name for it is "tRNA-Ser". Lineage: Eukaryota; Metazoa; Arthropoda; Insecta; Coleoptera; Anthicidae. The record is from RNAcentral.